RNAcentral lists this ribosomal RNA (253 nucleotides) under uncultured bacterium. Its description in RNAcentral is "partial 16S ribosomal RNA". It matches the Rfam family "Bacterial small subunit ribosomal RNA", at positions 524 to 776 of the family's 1533-position model. The record is from RNAcentral.
UACAGAGGUGGCAAGCGUUGUUCGGAAUUACUGGGCGUAAAGGGCGCGUAGGCGGUCUUGUCAGUCCCUUGUGAAAUCCCCCGGCUCAACUGGGGAACUGCACGGGAAACAGCAGGGCUUGAGUGUGGGAGAGGUGAGUGGAAUUCCUGGUGUAGCGGUGAAAUGCGUAGAUAUCAGGAGGAACACCUGUGGCGAAAGCGGCUCACUGGACCACAACUGACGCUGAUGCACGAAAGCUAGGGGAGCAAACAGG